Molecule: ribosomal RNA, 162 nt
Filed under: Spiculaea ciliata
Lineage: Eukaryota; Viridiplantae; Streptophyta; Magnoliopsida; Asparagales; Orchidaceae
Description: 5.8S ribosomal RNA
Rfam family: 5.8S ribosomal RNA
About the family: 5.8S ribosomal RNA (5.8S rRNA) is a component of the large subunit of the eukaryotic ribosome. It is transcribed by RNA polymerase I as part of the 45S precursor that also contains 18S and 28S rRNA. Functionally, it is thought that 5.8S rRNA may be involved in ribosome translocation.
Source: RNAcentral
UAGGACUCUCGGCAAUGGAUAUCUUGGCUCUUGCAUCGAUGAAGAACGCAACGAAAUGCGAUACGUGGUGCGAAUUGCAGAAUCCCGUGAACCAUCGAGUUUUUGAACGCAAGUUGCGCCUGAGGCUAACUGGCUGAGGGCACGUCCGCCUGGGCGUCAUGC